GACGAACGCUGGCGGCGUGCCUAAUACAUGCAAGUAGAACGCACAGUUUAUACCGUAGCUUGCUACACCAUAGACUGUGAGUUGCGAACGGGUGAGUAACGCGUAGGUAACCUGCCUGGUAGCGGGGGAUAACUAUUGGAAACGAUAGCUAAUACCGCAUAAUAUUAAUUAUUGCAUGAUAAUUAAUUGAAAGGUGCAAUUGCACCACUACCAGAUGGACCUGAGUUGUAUUAGCUAGUAGGUGAGGUAACGGCUCACCUAGGCGACGAUACAUAGCCGAGCUGAGAGGGUGAUCGGCCACACUGGGAAUGAGACCCGGCCCAGACGCCUACGGGAGGCAGCAGUAGGGAAUCUUCGGCAAUGGACGAAAGUCUGACCGAGCAACGCCGCGUCAGUGAAGGAGGGUUUCGGAUCGUAAAGCUCUGUUGUAAGAGAAGAACGGGUGUGAGAGUGGAAAGUUCACACUGUGACGGUAUCUUACCAGAAAGCGACGGCUAACUACGUG
This 505-nucleotide ribosomal RNA is filed under the name uncultured bacterium. RNAcentral's name for it is "partial 16S ribosomal RNA". It matches the Rfam family "Bacterial small subunit ribosomal RNA", at positions 28 to 507 of the family's 1533-position model. The record is from RNAcentral.